UGCUGUUCAAACGUUCGCGAUUUGGCGAGUGGAUUUGUUUUGACAUUUUUUUGUAGCAACCUCUCCCAGUUGUAAUCUAUGCCAGUGAUUGGCUUCAGUCACGAGUUUUACAGGCAACAGUUAGGAAGAUAAAACAUCAGUUUUUUAACCGUUAACAGAAUAGGUGUGUCUGGUCGGAUUCUGCAGCGCAUGAUUUGGACUUUAAUCGGUUUAACAAAAGGAUCGGAAAUAAAUAUCACAUCAAUCGAAGAAAUAUUUCUCUUGAUAUCGAGGAUAGAAACCGUUAACACGCGUCAUUAUUACCUUGUAAGAUAAUAUUAAAAAAUGUCGGGAUAUCCACCACCUCCUAGUUAUGGUGCUUAUGACCAGGCGCCUCCACCUGGUUUCGGUUACCCUGCACAACCUGGAUAUCCCUCUCAGCCCGCGUACCCUUCACAGCCUGGAUACCCCUCACAGCCUGGAUACCCCGCACAGCCUGGAUACCCCGCACAACCAGCAUACCCCUCUCAGCCUGUUACUCAACCACCCGGAGGUUAUUAUCCAGGACAGCCGCCUACACAAACAAUAAUAGUUCAAGAGAAGAAAGAUGACGAUUGCCUUAGAGACUGUGCCAUAUGCGCAUUAUGCACAGCGUUAUGUUGCUUCUGUUGUUCUGACUGAUUCCUGAGAUACAGAAAAUGGUUCAUAGUAGAUAUUUGUAGGCAUGUUAUUUGUGCAGUCACUUUCACAGAGCGCUCACAUUUUUGUAAAUACUAUAAUUCAAGUAAUUUUCCCCGCUGGGUGGGGUGUUUUCUGUCUUACCUUUAAUUCUCUUAUUCAGAUUAAAUUGUACAUUAUAAAUUGCAUAUAAAUAAUUAAUUGCAGUACUGUAUUUCUAAGUUUACUGCAGCAAAGGCAUAUAUUAAAUAGUUGCGCUUAGUUAUUCCGUUUAAUUAGAAUUAUUUAUGUUACUUAUAUUUAAAAAAGAGAAUCGUAGAUUUCGGUAGAAGUCUGAUUGUGUAAGUGUCUGCACAUGAAGCUAUUCGAUUAUCAGUAGAGUUUUCUGCAUUAUACACUAAGCAGAACAUAUGUUUUUAAAUAUUUCUUAUAAAAUCAUAGUUUGAAGUAUAAUAUUUGUAUGACAUUGCUGUGUGGAAUUUUUUAAAUUUUGAAUAACUAAUAAUAUGUGAUGUUUUAUGUAAUGUGGAGUAUUGCUAUGUUUUUAUUCUUAGAUUGUAUUAAUAGCAUGUUAAAGUUACGUUAAGUUUGUGCGAAUGGCAUGCUGUGAAGAUGUGAAUAACGAGUUAAAAUUACAUUAUGAAAACAUAUCUUUAAUUCUUUAUGAAUUAUUAGUUUAUUAUUUUCAUAGAUUUAUUUGAUUCAAAAAGCAUAAAUGUUUCAUCUUACAGGUAUCUGCGGUUAGAAUGUUUUGAUGUAUCUAAUGCGAUGUGUAUUAAUAUUUUUGAAUAUUUCGGAAGGAAAUAAUUGGGCGGAGAUUUUUAUAUUAUGUGUAAUAAUGUUCUAGUUUUGAAUCGAAUCAAGAAAUGAUUAAUUUUUUCAAAAAAGAAUAACAUUUUGUUCCAAACAGAAUUAAAAAUUUAAAUUUAGAGUUCUGUGUUGAAUGAUUAAGCAUAAUAUAACACUUCUUCAUUCCAAAAUUUCUUAGUUUUUUUAUAAUAUAUAUAUAUAUGAUUAAAAUUUUAAUAUUUUUUCAACUUUUUGAUCAAUUGAAUGAAUUAAGAUUUUACAUUAGUUGCAAUAUUAUUGUACUUAUAUUUGGAAUUUAAGAAAUUGGCAAACAUCUUCCAGAUAGAUUUUAGGUUUUUAUGUUUAAUAUACAGUUUUGUUAUAAAAAUGUUUUUAUGUAAAUUCAGGAUUCUUUGGUAAAAGCAAAAAGCAUAAAUGUUCUUUUACAUUUCAUUUUACUCUUAUUUUUUCUACAGGAAUGAGCGUAUUUCUUGCUUUCCGUAGGCAGUAUUUAUUCCACAGUUUUAUGUAUUAAAAAAAAAGCACAGUGCCUAAUAUUUAUAUUCUAGAUAAUUGUGACAAUUGUAUAAAAUAUUAUCCUACCGAAUAUUUUAUGACUGAGAUUGUUUGUCAUUAGUAUGUAUUUAAUAAUUAGUUUAUUCCUUGUUAGUCAUUUAACAGACAUGUAGUGAUGUUUCAAAAGAAUUUUUCAGUACAUAUUGUAAUUGCUUUUAUAUUAAAGAUAAAUUUUCUAUUUUUGUAAAUUAAGGAAAAGGUUUUGUAAAUAUGUUAGAAGAAUGCUUUUUUUCCCUUUUCGGUGUAAUACUAAUUAUAUGAAUUUAUACAUUCUUCUGUUAAAUAAAUACCACUUUAUUUUUUAUCCUGUCUCUAAAUUAUUGGCAUUUUAAAAAUCGAUCUGCUGAUGUUGAUUUCGAGUAUUACUGUUAAAUAUAAGAUUUUAUUUUUUCAUUAAAAAAGAGUUUUUAUUUUGUUUGAAUACAAAUUUAAAUAAAAGUCAUGGAUUUUUUAAUA
Molecule: unclassified non-coding RNA, 2478 nt
Filed under: Stegodyphus dumicola
Lineage: Eukaryota; Metazoa; Arthropoda; Arachnida; Araneae; Eresidae
Description: annexin A7-like, transcript variant X2
Source: RNAcentral